RNAcentral lists this ribosomal RNA (253 nucleotides) under uncultured bacterium. Its description in RNAcentral is "partial 16S ribosomal RNA". It matches the Rfam family "Bacterial small subunit ribosomal RNA", at positions 524 to 776 of the family's 1533-position model. The record is from RNAcentral.
UAAGGAGGGUGCAAACGUUAAUCGGAAUUACUGGGCGUAAAGCGCACGUAGGCGGGCCGUUAAGUGGGGUGUGAAAGCCCUGGGCUCAACCUGGGAAUUGCAUUCCAAACUGACGGGCUAGAGUGUGGUAGAGGGGGGUAGAAUUCCCUGUGUAGCGGUGAAAUGCGUAGAUAUAGGGAGGAAUACCUGUGGCGAAGGCGGCCCCCUGGACCAACACUGACGCUGAGGUGCGAAAGCGUGGGGAGCAAACAGG